This 491-nucleotide ribosomal RNA is filed under the name uncultured bacterium. Its description in RNAcentral is "partial 16S ribosomal RNA". It matches the Rfam family "Bacterial small subunit ribosomal RNA", at positions 29 to 506 of the family's 1533-position model. The record is from RNAcentral.
AGUGAACGCUGGCGGUAGGCCUAACACAUGCAAGUCGAACGGCAGCACAGUAAGAGCUUGCUCUUACGGGUGGCGAGUGGCGGACGGGUGAGGAAUACAUCGGAAUCUACUUUUUCGUGGGGGAUAACGUAGGGAAACUUACGCUAAUACCGCAUACGACCUACGGGUGAAAGCAGGGGAUCUUCGGACCUUGCGCGAUUGAAUGAGCCGAUGUCGGAUUAGCUAGUUGGCGGGGUAAAGGCCCACCAAGGCGACGAUCCGUAGCUGGUCUGAGAGGAUGAUCAGCCACACUGGAACUGAGACACGGUCCAGACUCCUACGGGAGGCAGCAGUGGGGAAUAUUGGACAGUGGGCGCAAGCCUGAUCCAGCCAUACCGCGUGGGUGAAGAAGGCCUUCGGGUCGUAAAGCCCUUUUGUUGGGAAAGAAAAGCAGCAGGUUAAUACCCCGCUGUUCUGACGGUACCCAAAGAAUAAGCACCGGCUAACUUCGU